UGGUUCCGGCAUCGAUGAAGAACGCAGCGAAAUGCGAUAAGUAAUGUGAAUUGCAGAAUUCAGUGAAUCAUCGAGUCUUUGAACGCACAUUGCGCCCCCCGGCAUUCCGGGGGGCAUGCCUGUUCGAGCGUCAUUUCUACCCAUCAAGCCCCGCUUGGCAUUGAGCGUGCAGAGGCCCCGCCCCCCGCGCGGCCCCGCUCGAAAGACCUAGGCGGCGGCGUCGAGCCCCGGAGCGACCAGGAUCUCGUAUCACCCGCUCCGCGAGGGGACUUCGGCGCUGUCGGCCGCAGCAGCCCCCCAGGGGCCCCCCAGAUUUUGACCUCGGAUCAGGUAGGGAUACCCGCUGA
This 347-nucleotide unclassified non-coding RNA is filed under the name uncultured fungus. Its description in RNAcentral is "partial contains 5.8S ribosomal RNA and internal transcribed spacer 2". The stretch from base 1 to 133 matches the Rfam family "5.8S ribosomal RNA", at positions 22 to 154 of the family's 154-position model. Lineage: Eukaryota; Fungi. The record is from RNAcentral.